UGAUCUCAAAUCAGGUAGGACUACCC
RNAcentral lists this ribosomal RNA (26 nucleotides) under Crepidotus trulliformis. RNAcentral's name for it is "partial 28S ribosomal RNA". Lineage: Eukaryota; Fungi; Basidiomycota; Agaricomycetes; Agaricales; Crepidotaceae. The record is from RNAcentral.